GGGGUGUGCUCAGAGCAGGGGCCUGAAGAGUGGUUUCUCUGUUUAUAACACACCCAAUAGGAAUCUGGGGCCAUUGUGAGGAGGGGCACAAGAUGCGUGGCCUUCUUAUGAACAAAUGCCCUACAUGU
RNAcentral lists this small nucleolar RNA (128 nucleotides) under Sciurus vulgaris (Eurasian red squirrel). RNAcentral describes it as "Small nucleolar RNA SNORA11 (ENSSVLG00005001887.1)". It matches the Rfam family "Small nucleolar RNA SNORA11". From Rfam's summary of the family: U107 (SNORA11) is a member of the H/ACA class of snoRNAs that guide the sites of modification of uridines to pseudouridines. Lineage: Eukaryota; Metazoa; Chordata; Mammalia; Rodentia; Sciuridae. The record is from Rfam by way of RNAcentral.